GUGCCAGCAGCCGCGGUAAUACGGAGGGUGCAAGCGUUAAUCGGAAUUACUGGGCGUAAAGCGCACGCAGGCGGUCUGUUAAGUCAGAUGUGAAAUCCCCGGGCUCAACCUGGGAACUGCAUUUGAAACUGGCAGGCUUGAGUCUUGUAGAGGGGGGUAGAAUUCCAGGUGUAGCGGUGAAAUGCGUAGAGAUCUGGAGGAAUACCGGUGGCGAAGGCGGCCCCCUGGACAAAGACUGACGCUCAGGUGCGAAAGCGUGGGGAGCAAACAAAGUUAGAGACCCUGGUAGUCC
RNAcentral lists this ribosomal RNA (292 nucleotides) under uncultured microorganism. RNAcentral's name for it is "partial 16S ribosomal RNA". It matches the Rfam family "Bacterial small subunit ribosomal RNA", at positions 505 to 796 of the family's 1533-position model. The record is from RNAcentral.